Molecule: ribosomal RNA, 495 nt
Filed under: uncultured bacterium
Lineage: Bacteria
Description: partial 16S ribosomal RNA
Rfam family: Bacterial small subunit ribosomal RNA
Source: RNAcentral
GAUGAACGCUGGCGGCGUGCCUAAUACAUGCAAGUAGAACGCUGAAGGAGGAGCUUGCUCUUCUGGAUGAGUUGCGAACGGGUGAGUAACGCGUAGGUAACCUGCCUGGUAGCGGGGGAUAACUAUUGGAAACGAUAGCUAAUACCGCAUGACAACAGUUAUUGCAUGAUAACUGUUUAAAAGGGGCAACUGCUCCACUACCAGAUGGACCUGCGUUGUAUUAGCUAGUUGGUGAGGUAACGGCUCACCAAGGCGACGAUACAUAGCCGACCUGAGAGGGUGGGCGGCCACACUGGGAGGGAGACACGGCACAGACUCCCACGGGAGGGAGCAGGAGGGAAUCUUCGGCAAGGGACGGAAGUCAGACCGAGCAACGCCGAGGGAGUGAAGAAGGUUGUCGGAUCGUAAAGCUCGGUUGUAAGAGAAGAACGAGUGUGAGAGUGGAAAGUUCACACUGUGACGGUAACUUACCAGAAAGGGACGGCUAACUACGUG